AGCAGGCCUCUGUGCUCCCAGCAGGCCUCUGCGCUCCCAGCAGGCCUCUGUGCUUCAGGCAGGCUUCUGCGCUCCCAGCAGGCCUCUGCGCUCCCAGCAGGCCCCGGGCGCCCCGCGUCCUCCUUGUGCCGGAUGACCGCACAGCACGCUCGUCGCCCUCUGCCGUUCUCGGGCAGCACUCCCAGCGCUCCCGCGCUCCAGGCGCGGUUCAGGUGCUGGCUGCUGCCGGGUUCGAGGAGGAAGAGCCGGGGUCGGUGUGGCUGGGAGAGGAAGGCUGCAGCAGCGCGGUGACCACAGGCGGGCUCCCUGGGGCGGCCGCGUGUCCCUCGACCUUGCCGGUCUGCUCUGGGCGACUUCCGAAGGUGGCCCUGACUCUCCAGCGCUGACCGCCUGGACGCGCGGCGCGGAGAGGAAGCUAGGGCAGGUUUAAAAAUUCAGUGCCAUAGGAAGCCAGUGGAGGGUUCUGUACCUGGAAGAUCAUGAUUUGACUUAUGUUUGCUGAGUCUGACUCCAGUUUUACACAGAGACCCAGAGACUUGAGAGUGGAUCCGGGGUUCCUGAGAGGAGGCUGCCACAUGUGUCCAGGGACCUACAAGGAAAACCUGCCUGAGAAUGUGUUUACACUAAGAUGUCCUACACACGAGCACCUUGUCAUUGUCUGAAGUUACUGAGGAAAACUGCACACCUCAGCAGCAAACUGAGGACUUCGGGGUUCCCUUAGUGCUCAGACACCACAUGUCCACUGUUCUCUGCUGCUGCUCAGCCUCUGCAAUCCCAAGGAUCAGAGGCCCCCCGCACUGGUAUAUUCUAAAUAUGCAUGGGGGUAAAAGCACCUUCAAGUCACAAAUGCUUUAAGAUGAAUAAAAAUGUUUGAAAUGUUAGGAAAUUAUAUUGCUAAUAAAUGGGGAA
Oryctolagus cuniculus (rabbit) is the source of this 909-nucleotide non-coding RNA. Lineage: Eukaryota; Metazoa; Chordata; Mammalia; Lagomorpha; Leporidae. The record is from RefSeq and is a predicted model, not a curated record.